Molecule: long non-coding RNA, 211 nt
Filed under: Elaeis guineensis (African oil palm)
Lineage: Eukaryota; Viridiplantae; Streptophyta; Magnoliopsida; Arecales; Arecaceae
Description: long non-coding RNA (EGUI_LNC072861)
Source: RNAcentral
GUUCAGAUCAAUCAAGAUUCGGUGUUGGCUGAUGAUGAGUCAGAAUUGUAUGUUGACCGACUAUGAGUCAACACUAAAUUAUGGACGAUCAAAGGUUGGCACUAAGAGCCACUUGAUGAAGGAUCGAUCAAAGAUACUUACCGAUUAAGAGUCAGUAUUGCACAUUCACCGAUUGGAGAUUAUCAAAAUUUACAGACGAUUAACAGUUAGG